Molecule: ribosomal RNA, 327 nt
Filed under: Triticum aestivum (bread wheat)
Lineage: Eukaryota; Viridiplantae; Streptophyta; Magnoliopsida; Poales; Poaceae
Description: partial small subunit ribosomal RNA
Source: RNAcentral
AUGAAUGAGUUUGACUACAUAAUACGGGAAGCUAGGGAAAUCUUUUAUUUUUAUGGUAUGAAUCAUGAAAAACCCAUGAUAGAUGAAAUUCUUUACAAUAGUGACUAUGCACUAAGGCAUUUGCGUGGGGAUAAUAAGAUCUUUGAUGAGAAUCUUAAAAAGGAGGUCCCCGUUCUAGAGAUAAUCCAACAAGUUUUUAAUAAUGUUAAUCACCACUACUCUUGGAUAGUUGUAGGAAAUCAAAGGGGUUAUGAUGAAAACCAACUAAGGAAUGCCAAAGUUCCCAUGGAUAAUUUGUUUUAUGUUGUGUUUACAAAACCCCCAUGA